AAUGGUUAAUAACUAAUUAUAAUUUUUAACACUUUGGGGCUAAAAUUAGAGUGAGGGGGUGGGCUUGUGGGUCUGUGCAAGGUAUAAGGACACGCAGCAGUGAAGGAAAGUUGGUGGGAUACAGAGCAGAAAGGUGGAGCCUGGGGGAGUUCCCAAGGUAUUGCCCCCUGGGAAGGUGUUACCCACAGCUGGAAAGCAUUUGUCUGUUUGCUGUGCACACACUGAAUGAAAUAGCAGAGUAGUACUAUGGAGCAGAAAUAAAGGGGAUCUCUGAAAACAGAACUGGCAUACUGAGGACUGUGCUGGGCCAAAAGCAAUGUUCAUUUCUGCAUAAACAUCACUGAAAAGAAUGAACUCAUCCUUGAUUGUGGAGCAGAGGAGCACUUCUGAGUGUGUCAGAGAGAAAAGUGAGGAAGCAGGACCAAGCUCCUGGGAGAGCGAGACAUGGAUUCAUGCUCCAGUAGGUCAAGUCUGGAUGACGGGAUGAACAAAUGGGUCCCAGACAUCCAGAACAGAGAGGAAUGACGGUUUUCUUUCCCGGCACACUGCACCUCUGUGCUUUCUGUGUGGAGAUCAGGCUGUCCCUCCGCCACCAGCCUGCCCCAGGGUGAUGCCGAUGCCCCAGCAGCAGGCCUCCCACCCAGCCAUCCUGCAGUCCCACCGGGCUCCGUGCAGGUGAACUCCUGCCCUCACCCUCCCAGCCUGUCCCUCCUGAGGAGCUGAGCACACCCGUGGCAGCACAUCAGCAGUGUCAGCAACCCCAGCAUGUCCCCCCAGUCCCAAUGUGGCCAUGGCUCUGCAGCUGUGCAGACCCCAGGCCCCCCCUGACAGGGAUGGACUGGGAGGGAAGGAGUUAGGCUCCUUUUGCAAGGUGUGAGGUUCAUUACUCAAAGCCCCUUCCACCAGCUAGCUGUUCCUUAGCUCAGGUCUCAGCUGUCACUCAGCGUGUCCAUGCAGCAUGCUUCACAGCUGGCAUCCCCAGAUGAAGAACCUUUCUCUGCCACACAACCAGAUCAUCCCCUUGUCCUUCCUUAUCCCUGCUGGCUCCUGGAGCCUGUCAGCCUCUGCUCUCCUUGUGCUGAGUGACAUUCUUUACUCCGGCUUUACACUAGCAGAAGGAAGCAGGGACAGUUUUCCAGCUCUCAGGUAGGAAGCUACUGUCAAACUCUACCAUUUCUAAUUGCUUUGCCUCCUGGACAGCCACAUUUCUCCUGACACCUGCAUCUUCGUGCAAAUACGGUCUGAGAGGACCAGGAUCAGACUUCUUCUUUCUGUCAUGUAUUCACCAGGCCCUUGCUUACCGGUAUCGGCUUCCUCCUCUCAGCUAGUUAGUGUCUUGUGUGUCUUCAGAAUUAAUGACUAGACAAACGUGUCCCGAGCACGAUAGGUACCGACUUAUUCCUGGCAUUUUGCAAGGAUUUUGUGACACAUCAGUACAAGCAGAGAAUGCAAGAUCUCCCUCCUUUCAGACAGGGUGAGACAUAUUUGGCACACUUAAUUUUGGGGAAUUCUGUCACUGAUCUUUUUAGUAGUACUCCUGAGUUUCCUGAGAGAUGUCUUAUAGAUUGUGUAUAUGAAAAGGGGGAUCUCUGGAUCCAGUGGGAGCCACAGUCCACAGCAUGACUGCUUGGGACAGCUGAACUGGAUGACCCUGGUGGCUCUUUCUGGAGCUGUCACUCUCUGUAUCUGUUUGCUUAGUCUUUAUAUUUUUGGAUCUUCUUUUUAUUUGCAUUAGUCAAGACUAAAAGGAUUGACAAGCAGGGCCUUGUGGUGGAAAAGCUUAAGUCAAUCUAACUGUGAUGGCGGCGAUGCCUCUGUCAAGUAAAUGUGAAUGCCAGAGAACAUUGUCUUUCUCCCUGACACUACUUAUUUGGACUAAGCCAAAAAUAUCCAUGAGCCAUGUACAUGUUU
Molecule: non-coding RNA, 1911 nt
Organism: Anas platyrhynchos (mallard)
Lineage: Eukaryota; Metazoa; Chordata; Aves; Anseriformes; Anatidae
Source: RefSeq, a predicted model, not a curated record